CGCAAGCAACAGUUGCGGAAGUGGAAAAUAGACUGCAAAGCCAAGACUAUGCCCAAACAAUGACUACAUUCUUCCAUAAACUUAAAACCGCCAGUGAUAAUGUAACAGACGUAAUACCGAAGGUUUUCUCAGAUAAGCUCUUCGAAGGAUAUAAUUAGGAUGGCAGAUGGAGCAAGAAUCCCUAUUCAAGUUGGCGCUGGUUGAGACCAUUUUAAAAAAUGUGUUUCAACAACAAGGGUGUAGGAGUUUCGAACAAAAUAUAAAGCGGUCAAUACUGCUCAGCCAUCACAAAUUAAACCAGCGUACUUAUUUAAAAAACAAACGGAAACAAUAACUACAUUUAAAAACUAAACAAAUUCAAACAAAAUAAGAAAAAACGUUAACUUCGGUUGAACCGAAGCUAAAUACCCUUCACAGGUGCAUUUCUGUUAGUAACUAUGUGUUCAGUUUGUAUGGAAGCUAUAUGCUAUAGUAAUCCGUUCUAAACAAGUUUUUUACAGAUUACAGUGUUGCCUUAAAAAAAAACAAAUAUCAAAUUUCGUCAAUAUAUUUUGUCAAAUGUGAAAGUGGUCCAUACAAGAACUUUAUUCCGAUCGUUCAGUUUGUAUGGCAGCUAUAUGCUAUAGUUAACCGAUCUGAACAAUUUCUUCGGAGAUUACAUUGUUACCUUAGAAAAUAACAUAUAUCAAGUUCCGUGAAUAUAUCUUGUCAAAUGUGAAAGUUUUCCAUACAAGCAUUUGAUUCCGAUCGUUCAGUUUGUAUGGCAGCUAUAUGUUAUAGUGGUCCGAUAUCGGCCGUUCCGACAAAUGAGCAGCUUCUUGAGGAGAAAAUGAAGUUUGCAAAAUUUCAAAACGAUAUCUUAAAAACUGAGAGACAAGUUCGUAUAUGUACAGACAGACGGACAGACGGACAGACAGACAGACGGACAUGGCUAAAUCGACUCAGCUCGACAUACUGAUCAUUUAUAUAUAUACUUUAUAGGGUCUCCGACGAUUCCUUCUGGGUGUUACAAACUUCGUGACAAACUUAAUAUACCCUGUUCAGGGUAU
Molecule: long non-coding RNA, 1049 nt
Organism: Bactrocera neohumeralis
Lineage: Eukaryota; Metazoa; Arthropoda; Insecta; Diptera; Tephritidae
Exons: 3
Source: RefSeq, a predicted model, not a curated record